CCCACCGUGGUCGACGUCACCGCAAACCACCACCGCACCACUCCCUCCUGCCCCCUCCUCUCUCCUUUUAAUCCGCACCCUGGAAACCCUAGACCACCUCCUCCCUCUCGCCGCCGCCACCAUCUCUCUUCCCCUUUCCUUCUUCUCUGUCACGAACGGAGUCACAAAGCCACAGAGAAAACCCUCACACCAACCACACAAACCUCGCCGUCGCCGGCGCUGCAGAGCACCCCGCGCUGAUAUGAGGGCAUCAGGAGAACCGCCUCGUCACCCUCUACGUCCGGCUGCAAGGAAUCGAGCCGGGGCUCUUCCAAUCGACGGCAGUUUCGCCGAUACCGUCUCCGACCUCGGCUGUAAAAGCUUCGAUUGCGGCCGUCUCCGACCCCUUCCACCAUCUCCGACCUUCUCCUCACGUUCCUGGUACAACCAUCGGCGCUGCUCCCUGUGUGUCCCCGGCUUCAACUCUGCUAGAUUCCGCAUCCGUGUGAAGUUCCGCGUCGAGCGCGCCCUGUCCCGCUUCCCAGUUCACCCGCCAUCGUCAGAUCCAUAGCUGUCUACAAGCUCCGCCAUGGCUGUUUUACCAGGAGUUUCCGCCAUGGUAUGGUUCAAAAGAAGACCUGGUUCAUUCCGUACAGCAUCUGAACCGCACCACAGUGAUGGGUCCCAUCUCAGUGUCCACCGGCGCCAAGUCAGCAGCUCCCUGUCCCAGUCAGCACUCCCUGGCCCCGCGCGUCAGUCGCUCAGGCUAGCCUGUGCCUGGCAUUUGCUUCUUCCCGGAUAGGAUCGCGAAGUGGUGUGGUGAGAUACGACAAGUCCUCCGGAUCUUCCUCGGCAAGCUUUAA
Molecule: long non-coding RNA, 842 nt
Organism: Lolium perenne
Lineage: Eukaryota; Viridiplantae; Streptophyta; Magnoliopsida; Poales; Poaceae
Source: RefSeq, a predicted model, not a curated record